UUAAAAAUAGCUCAAUUGGCAGAGCAUGAGACUCUUAAUCUCAAGGUUGCAGGUUUGACCCCUGCGUUGGGCUUAAU
Molecule: non-coding RNA, 77 nt
Organism: Entomophthora muscae
Lineage: Eukaryota; Fungi; Entomophthoromycota; Entomophthoromycetes; Entomophthorales; Entomophthoraceae
Source: the annotation of a GenBank genome assembly